Molecule: ribosomal RNA, 273 nt
Filed under: Triticum aestivum (bread wheat)
Lineage: Eukaryota; Viridiplantae; Streptophyta; Magnoliopsida; Poales; Poaceae
Description: partial small subunit ribosomal RNA
Source: RNAcentral
AUGGUUAUGGUUUUAAGGUAUGUUGAUAAACAUGGGUAUGCGAUUGAGAGGUUCAUUGGGAUUAAGCAUGUUGGUGACACAAGGGCAGCUUCCCUAAAAGCAGCUUUGGAUGGUAUGUUUCUUAAACAUGGCUUGUGUAUGUCUAAAUUGAGAGGGCAAGGGUAUGAUGGAGCUUCUAACAUGAGAGGACAAUUUCGUGGGUUGCAAAGGUUGAUACUAGAUGAAAAUCCGUAUGCAUUUUAUAUUCAUUGCUUUGCCAUCAGUUGCAGUUAG